Molecule: ribosomal RNA, 706 nt
Filed under: uncultured bacterium
Lineage: Bacteria
Description: bacterial SSU rRNA
Rfam family: Bacterial small subunit ribosomal RNA
Source: RNAcentral
GAUUAGAAGCUUGCUUCUAUGACGUUAGCGGCGGACGGGUGAGUAACACGUGGGCAACCUGCCUGUAAGACUGGGAUAACUUCGGGAAACCGAAGCUAAUACCGGAUAGGAUCUUCUCCUUCAUGGGAGAUGAUUGAAAGAUGGUUUCGGCUAUCACUUACAGAUGGGCCCGCGGUGCAUUAGCUAGUUGGUGAGGUAACGGCUCACCAAGGCAACGAUGCAUAGCCGACCUGAGAGGGUGAUCGGCCACACUGGGACUGAGACACGGCCCAGACUCCUACGGGAGGCAGCAGUAGGGAAUCUUCCGCAAUGGACGAAAGUCUGACGGAGCAACGCCGCGUGAGUGAUGAAGGCUUUCGGGUCGUAAAACUCUGUUGUUAGGGAAGAACAAGUACGAGAGUAACUGCUCGUACCUUGACGGUACCUAACCAGAAAGCCACGGCUAACUACGUGCCAGCAGCCGCGGUAAUACGUAGGUGGCAAGCGUUAUCCGGAAUUAUUGGGCGUAAAGCGCGCGCAGGCGGUUUCUUAAGUCUGAUGUGAAAGCCCACGGCUCAACCGUGGAGGGUCAUUGGAAACUGGGGAACUUGAGUGCAGAAGAGAAAAGCGGAAUUCCACGUGUAGCGGUGAAAUGCGUAGAGAUGUGGAGGAACACCAGUGGCGAAGGCGGCUUUUUGGUCUGUAACUGACGCUGAGGCGCGAAAGC